UGUAAAACUCCAUUUUAUUUGUUUUGUGCUGUUUACAACAACACGCACUGAGACAAUGUAGACAAAUCAGCUCUAAAGAAAUGGAAAGCAUCCAUUCCUCUAAUGAUUAAGUGACAAUGACAGUAAUGGAUAAGAAAACAGAAACGAGAAAAGAACCUUGACAGAGAUGUGCUUUUCUGAGGGGAUACUGAAUAGGGGAUGUAGGAUACUGUAAAAUAUUGUGAAGGCGGGUUUAAAACAUAUGUUCCCAUAUCAUAUAGGAAAUAAGAGCGAUGAAUGCGGUUAAAAGUUUGUUAAAGAGCAACUCAUGAACAAUGUAACAAACACAUGAUCUUCAGAUGUAUUAUUAGCGAUUUUAAUCUUUUCUGACUAAAACAAAAGUUCUGAUAUUCUCUUACCAGUGUAUUUUACAGAUGGAGACAUGAGUGCCGUACUAUGAUGGCUGUUUCAUUCACAUGCUGUAAAAACACAUCCUUCCGCUGACAAAACUUGAUGGUUUACCCAACACUAGUGAGCGAUAACUGAAAUCCAGCCUUUGUACAUGUAUUGUAUUUUAGGGGAGAGGUACAGUAUUUGUGGGAGGUUUACUGGUAGGCUAUUAAUAAGAGACUGGAGAAAAAUUCAAAUCCCAUUUCUACCAUAUUUACUUUGUGCUUUUGUUUCUGUUUCAAUCCUGUAUCCACCCCGUCCUGUCAUUGGCCUGUUACCCAAUGUGUGCACCUGUUCUGUCUAGUCCUUCAUUCAUUUACCUAUGUAUAGCCUGCUAUUUCAUUGUUUCGUUGCAAAGCCUUAUCAUGCAUUUCUAACAAAAAUCCAAGCCUUGUUUUCUAGUUCCUGGUCUGUGUGCAUUAUUUCACAGUUUUAAUCUAACGAUUAACGGAUCGUUCUAGUUUGCUGCCUGUGCUCUGACACCCACUUGGAUCUCUGACAAUGAUUCUCCUUAAUAAAGCACACAGUAGGUUUUACACACUUGUGCGUCCUGCCUCCUAUCACUGCACGUAACACUGGCAAACAAAUAACAUGGAGCAUCUUUUGGUGGACGUCCUCCUCCCCAAGGAUUACGCCAAUGGCUGGUGAUGCAGAUGGUAUUUGAACACAGGGGGUGUGAAUAAAAAAGGACUUGUUCUUUAGCAACAUUAACAACACCUUUUAAGGGGUACUAGGAGUAGUAGUAGAAAUAGGCGUAGGAGUGGUGGUAGGAGCAGUGAUUGGAGUAGUCAUAGUGCGAAGACAUGAUAAUUAAUUAUCUGAAGUAUAGGACUAGUGGCUGAAAGAAAGGGUUCACAAGUUAAUGGAUAAGGGGUCGGAGUAGAGAUGGGAGUACCGUACUGGAUUGAGUAGGGGUUGGAUGGGAAGUCCUGGAGAUAUUCAUCAGUACAGGAGCUGUUCCUGGUAUGAUUCUGAGAAGAGCUCAGGGUUAGUAUUUUUAGUAUGACUAUUUAUGUUAUACCUUUCAUUAUAGAUAGGACAGUGUUUAUUCUUAAUCUGUGUUAAUUCAUGGUUGAUUUUCAGGCCUUUUAUUUCAUUUCUGCCAUUGGCAUUAAGUUGUGGGAAGAAUAGAUAUUGCUGCUGCAUGGAGAAAUGAAGUUUUAUUUAAGUUUGUAGAUGAAGUGUAUGGCUUCAAGGAGAAUCAACAGGUUAGGUGUGUAGGCCAGUAAUUGUACCCAUUGUUUAAACACACUAACACCACCACUGACGCAACACCCAAUAAGAUUCCAGUGUCAUGUCAGUGUUUCUGCUGUUCGGCAUCUGGAAGGAUUAGUGGCAGUGGUUCAUCAAUUGGUAGGGGAAAUGGGUCCGGCAAUGGUUCAGGGACUGGUUCGGGUUGUGGUUCAGGGACUUGUUCGGGUUGUGGGACAGGGAUUGCUUGGGGUUGUGGGUCGGGGAGUGGGAUAGAAGAAAUUGGAACAGUGGUUGUAAUAGUUCCAGGAGUAGUGGUGAGUGUAAUAGUAGUAGUGGUUUGACUAGUUGUAGAAAUAGUUGGAAAAGUAGUGUUAGGAGUAAAUGAAGUAGUAGUAGAUAUUAUGGUUGUAGGGGUAGUUGUAGGAGAAGUGAAGGGAGUAACUGGAGUAGUAGUUGUUUGAGUAGUGGUAGGUGGAAUUGGAGGAGGAGUAGCUGAACUUGUUGCAUCGUAUUGUAUAGGGAUGAUUGGAUUGGUGGUAGAACUAAUUGGAGGACUGGUGGUAGGAGUAACUGAAGGUGCAGUGGAUGGAAAAGUUAUAGGAGUAGUGGUUGGAAUAGUGGUUGGAGUGGUGGUUGGAGUGGUGGUUGGAGUGGUGGUUGGAUGGGAAACGCUUGUGGAUUGUGAAGACACUGAGAAGAGGAUAGUUAGUUAGACAGUUAGUAUUUUUCAUUAUGCUUAUUUACUGUAUUAUUUGCACUUUAAAUAAGUCAGUAUUUAUUCUUACCCUGUGUGAAUCCAGGGUUGAUUCUCAGGCCAUUUAUUUCAUUUCUGCUAUUGACGGCCUGCAGAAAUAGGUACUUGAUCACCAUGGCAUUGGUUUGGUCUGAGUAGAACAUGAUGGUGGCCUGAACAACCACAGAUCCAGCCUUGUCACUAGACAUGGAGCCAGAGAGAUAAUAAAUAACUCAAGUGAUAUUUAAUGUUGCAGAUGAACUUUACGGCUGCAAGGAGGAUCAAGAGGUUAGGUGUUUAAUACCUGUGAU
Molecule: long non-coding RNA, 2667 nt
Organism: Ictalurus punctatus (channel catfish)
Lineage: Eukaryota; Metazoa; Chordata; Actinopteri; Siluriformes; Ictaluridae
Source: Ensembl